CUCCCUUAGAUUCUUCUGGCGCACGUUUGCUGACGGUCCCUUAGCUCGCACAGCGCUGAAGCGGAUCUCAGAUCUGUAGCAGUGUGCCAGUGUCACUGUUUCACCGGGGAACGAUACACUCGCGUUUCACGUUUAGGCGCACUACAGCCACCGGCGAUGCUAUGCUACAUUUUUAACUGAAAGACGGAAUAACAGCAAAAAUGACGGUGGAUUUUGAGGAAUGUAUUAAAGAUUCUCCCCGAUUCAGGGCGAAUAUCGAUGAAGUUGAGACGGAUGUUGUGGAAAUCGAAGCCAAGUUAGAUAAGUUGGUGAAGCUAUGCAGCGGUAUGAUCGAAGCAGGUCGUGCGUACAUCAGUGCCAAUAAACUCUUCAUCAACGGGAUUCGAGACUUGUCUCACCACUGCAAAAAAGAGGAGAUGAUCUCAGAAUGUCUUGAAAAAUGUGGCGGGAGCCUUCAGGAAAUUGUCAACUAUCACAUGAUCCUGUUUGACCAGGCACAGAGAUCCGUAAAGCAACAGUUGCACAAUUUUGUGAAGGAGGAUGUUCGAAAGUUUAAAGAGACGAAGAAGCAGUUUGAUAAGGUGCGGGAGGAUAUGGAGAUCGCCCAGGUGAAGAACGCACAGGCGCCUCGUAACAAACCUCAUGAGGUGGAGGAGGCCACCAGCGCCCUCAUCACGACCCGAAAGUGCUUCCGACACCUCGCCCUGGACUAUGUGUUGCAGAUCAAUGUUCUUCAGGCCAAAAAGAAAUUUGAAAUUUUGGAUUCGAUGCUGUCGUUCAUGCAGGCUCAGUACAGUCUCUUCCAGCAGGGCUUCAACAUCUUAGACGAGGUCGACCCCUACAUGAAGAAGCUGGCUGCUGAGCUGGAUCAGCUGGUCAUAGACUCAGCGAUGGAGAAGCGAGAGAUGGAGCACAAACACGCCACCAUACAGCAAAGAGAUUUUGCAUACGAUGACUCCAAAGUGGAAUUCAAUGUUGAUGCUCCUAAUGGUGUGGUGAUGGAGGGAUACCUGUUCAAGAGGGCGAGCAAUGCUUUCAAGACGUGGAACAGGCGAUGGUUUUCGAUACAGAACAGUCAAUUAGUCUAUCAGAAGCGACUAAAAGACUCUUUGACUGUGGUUGUGGAGGAUCUGCGGCUUUGCUCUGUGAAACCGUGUGAGGACAUUGAGAGGAGGUUCUGUUUUGAAGUGGUGUCACCUACAAAGAGCUGUAUGCUGCAGGCUGAAUCUGAGAAGCUCCGUCAAGCUUGGAUUCAAGCAGUUCAGGCCAGCAUUGCUUCAGCCUACAGGGAAAUCUCGGAGAACUAUUAUAUUGAGCGUCUGGACAGGACAGCGUCUCCCUCCACGAGCAGUAUCGACUCUGCCAGCGAGCCGCGGGAGCGUAUUGUUAGGGGAGAGAGUAUCCUACAGCGGGUCCAGUCUCUGCCAGGGAACGAGAUCUGCUGUGACUGUGGCCAGGCCGACCCUCGCUGGGCCAGCAUCAACCUCGGCAUUCUGCUCUGCAUCGAGUGCUCGGGCAUUCACAGGAGUUUGGGAGUCCACUGCUCUAAAGUUCGCUCUUUAACACUCGACUCAUGGGAGCCAGAGCUUAUGAAGUUAAUGUGUGAGCUUGGAAACACUGUAAUCAACCAGAUCUAUGAAGGUGCGUGUGAAGAGCAGGGACUUAAGAAACCUGGUCCCAACAGCUCAAGGCAGGAGAAAGAAGCAUGGAUCAAAGCGAAAUAUGUGGAGAGGAAGUUUCUGAAGAAGAUGUGUGGCUCCGAGGCUCUGGUGGAGGGGAGCAGAAAAUCACAUCACUGGAACGUGAAGAAGUGCAGGAGACACAACAGCUCCAUCAGAGCCCCUAAAACCCGCCGGAAAUACAGACAUGAUGCCGGGAUCAUGUCACCAGCCAAUCUCUCUGCUGCUGCGGCAGCUGCAAAAUUUCGGAGGGAAUCCUUGUUUUGUCCCGACGAGCUUGAUUCGCUCUUCUCUUACUUUGACACAGGCUCAGGGCCUCGCAGCCCCGCAGGUCUCAGCAGUGAUAGCGGGCUUGGCGGCAGUACUGACGGCAGCACAGACAUACUCGUUUUCGGCUCAGUGGUGGACAGCGUCACUGAGGAAGAGUGUGAGGACUCCGAUGAGUCAAGUGGGGAGGUUGACAUCGAGCAGGAAGCGUCGGAUCCAGAGGACGGACGGGAGCUUGACCCGAAGACGCUGCUUCAUAAGGCGUCAAGGGCCAGAAACAUACCGGUCAUGGCAGAGGCACUCGCGCACGGGGCAGAUGUCAACUCUGUCAGUGAGGAGGACCAAAGCAAGAGUCCAUUAAUACAAGCCGUCACAGGGGGCUCUCUGAUAGCCUGUGAGUUCUUGCUGCAGAACGGAGCAGAUGUCAAUCAGAGGGAUGUACGAGGACGGGCGCCUCUGCACCAUGCCACGUGCCUGGGUCACACGGGACAGGUGUGUUUGUUCCUGAAGCGAGGAGCCUCUCAGAUGGAGGUCGAUGAGGAGGGGCAGGACCCUCUCAGUAUCGCUGUCCAGGCCGCCAACGCAGACAUCGUCACAUUAUUGCGGUUAGCCCGGAUGAAUGAGGAGAUGCGGGAAGCGGACGGGCCCUUCGGACAGCCAGGUCAAUACCCCAGCAGCAGUCCCACAGAGCAACAGUACAAAAAGUGUAUUCAGGAGUUUAUCUGUCUCACGAUUGACGAAUGCUAGGGGCGCUGUUGAGCGCUGACAGACUGUGAGGAGAACUACAAAAGUUUGUAGCCCUUAGCAGGAAUAGCUUUAGCAGAGAUUGAGUGCUGUCUUCAUCCUCCUCCCCUCCUGACCAACUAAUUCACACGUUGUGUGUUCGUAUGUACAGUAUGUAUGUGGUUAACACAAAAUAUUAAAAUCAAAUGGCUGUUGCGACAGUAUGCGAGGGCUAGAUUGCUGUUUUGAAUUGUGCAUCAUUCAAACGUGACGUUAAUCGCGAUUAAUUAGUGGAUUAACAGCCAACAGCCAACAACAAACAUUUGUUUUGAAUUAAUUUGAAUUCAUUAGCAAUUCAAAACAGCAUUUCAGUGUUAUUGAGUCAUUAUGUGCAAAAUAUGACUGUGCGCACUUUUCCUACCGACAGUAUUUGUUUUGUUUUGUUUUUUACGACUGAAUUCUUGUAAAUGUUGUUUGUUGUGUUUUUAAUUUAUGUUCCGUCCUGAGGAUUAGUGCAAUGAUAAUUGGAAUACGGAAAAACUGUAUCCAUUUAUAUUUUCUCGUUUAGUAAAAAAAAAAGCUUUUACGUUUGACUAAAUAGAUUUUUUUUUUUGUCUUUUACAUUUCAAAAAACACACCGGCCUCCCCUCAUAUGCUAAUAAAACGGGUGUGUUGACCCCUUUAAGAGAUGUCAGCUAUUCAAAAUUAUUUAUAGAACUUAUAGCAACCGUCUGUUUUAUAUAUUUGUACUUGUAUUGCCAAGCUCCCAAAUGACUGUCAUGUGAAUUUUAAUUUUUUUAAGCAAAGUGCUUGUCUAUAGCAGUCUGUCAGUAGAAGCAGUCAGCAUUUGCAUGCGUUUACUCGCUCGUAUACCAAGGCAAAGUGUCUGUCCGCAUUAGCAAGCAUGGUUCCUUAUUUUAGCCACCUGAUUCUACCAUUAUGUAAAAAUGCAUGGCCGCAGAAGACAUCUGCUCUGUAUUGUCCAUUUUUUGCCCACGCUUGGUUCAGAUGAUCCCAGUCAUCAGAAUCCUGUCUCCCUUUCUAAUGCCUGUAAAAAAAAAGAUGCAUCCGAAAAUGCCCACUUCCAUAUUAUGUAUUAGUUGACAAACAGUAUGAGAGAUGAGUAGUAUGUCUGAAUUCAUAGCAUUCAUAGAACAGUCAAAAAGCACAAUUUUAGCGCAACAAUGUUCGAUUUUGGAUACCACACUUCUCAUUUAGCACUGUGCUAAGCAGGCUAAUCUGUUAGCCAAGUAUAGGCCAGCAAAAAAUAGAGAAUAUGACCAUUUUUAGCUUUAGUAAUGAAAUAUAAGAAUUAAAAGGCAUUAAUUAACAUUUUAAUGAUUAAGACUUUGAAGGAUUUGAAUAAAUUACCCAUAACAAAUGUUUGAGGAAUAAGGGGGAUAGGAUUCUGUGUGACACCGCCAUCUGUGAACGGACUGUUGCAAGUAAAGGUGAAAUAUGUAAAAAUAAUAAUAAUAUUGGCUAUUUCCAAUCAAACAAUCUCCCAGUCUGCAAUUGGUCGUCAAAUAAAUAGCCCCGCCCCCACACUCAUGCUAUUGGUUGAGCCACUGUUGAUAUGUCAGGCAGGUCAGAUGCUUAAACAGAGCGAUGUUUUGAUAGAUUGAUAGUGUUUAUGCUUUUCGGGGGAUUCAAUCUACAAAUGCGUUACUUUGGACAUGGAAAAUAUUCAAAUAUGGAAAACAAACCUACACACUUCACCUUUAAACUGAAGCCAGCAUUCCUGCGAGUCCAUCGAGGGUAAAGCGCAAGAGUUCACGAGCGUCACCACGUGCACUGUCAUCUUUCGGCAGUUUCCGCACAUGGAUUUACACCCCUCCGAAACACUAACCAGCUGUCCUGCUGAAACCAGAC
Carassius gibelio (silver crucian carp) is the source of this 4541-nucleotide RNA transcript. It is a transcript of the gene named ArfGAP with coiled-coil, ankyrin repeat and PH domains 3b, with no coding region annotated. The record is from RefSeq and is a predicted model, not a curated record. The transcript is spliced from 25 exons. NCBI's taxonomy places the organism in Eukaryota, Metazoa, Chordata, Actinopteri, Cypriniformes, Cyprinidae.